Molecule: ribosomal RNA, 1525 nt
Filed under: metagenome
Description: bacterial SSU rRNA
Rfam family: Bacterial small subunit ribosomal RNA
Source: RNAcentral
AGAGUUUGAUCCUGGCUCAGAACGAACGGUGGCGGUGUGCCUACUACAUGCAAGUCGAGCGGUCCUCGUGGCUUGCCACGGGGUACAGCGGCGAACGGGUGAGUAAUGUAUAGAUAACUUGCCUUCAAGUGGGGGAUAACGCCUCGAAAGGGGUGCUAAUACCGCAUGUGAUUAGACUCAUACCUGUGAGACUAAUGAAAGUGGGGGACUUGCUUCGGUAAGCCUCAUGCUUGAAGAGAGGUCUAUAUCCUAUUAGCUAGUUGGUGGGGUAAAUGCCUACCAAGGCAAUGAUGGGUAGCCGGCCUGAGAGGGUGAUCGGCCACAUGGGCACUGAGACACGGGCCCGACUCCUACGGGAGGCAGCAGUAGGGAAUAUUGGGCAAUGGGCGAAAGCCUGACCCAGCGACACCGCGUGGAUGAUGAAGGCCUUCGGGUUGUAAAAUCCUAACACGUAUUAAGAAAGGUGAACGGUUAAUACCCGUUUACUAUGACGAAGGUACGAGAUGAAGCCAUGGCUAACUCUGUGCCAGCAGCCGCGGUAAUACAGAGAUGGCAACCGUUGUUCGGAAUCACUGGGCUUAAAGCGCACGUAGGCGGGAAGAUCAGUCGGUCUGUGAAAUCCCACGGCUCAACCGUGGAUUGGCAGCCGAUACUGUCUUUCUUGAGGCCGGUAGGGGAGAGUGGAAUUCCUGGUGGAGCGGUGAAAUGCGUUGAUAUCAGGAGGAACGUCGGAGGCGUAGGCGACUCUCUGGACCGAUUCUGACGCUGAGGUGCGAGAGCUAGGGGAGCGAACGGGAUUAGAUACCCCGGUAGUCCUAGCCGUAAACGAUGGGUACUAAGUAGGGGGGAUUAGCCUCCCUGCCGGAGCAAAAGUGUUAAGUACCCCGCCUGGGGAGUAUGGUCGCAAGGCUGAAACUCAAAGGAAUUGACGGGGGCUCGCACAAGCGGUGGAGCAUGUGGUUUAAUUCGAAUCAACGCGAAGAACCUUACCUGGACUUGACAUUCUAGGAUUAGCCUUUUGAAAGAAGGAUAACGCUCCUUCGGGAGUGGAACUAGAACAGGUGUUGCAUGGCUGUCGUCAGCUCGUGCCGUGAGGUGUUGGGUUAAGUCCCAUAACGAGCGAAACCUUUGUCCUUAGUUGCCAGCGGGUAAUGCCGGGGACUCUAAGGAGACUGCAGACGUUAAGUCUGAGGAAGGAGGAGACGACGUCAAGUCAUCAUGGCCCUUAUGUCCAGGGCUACACACGUGCUACAAUGGUAGAUACAAAGGGACGCGAGACCGAGAGGUGAAGCAAAUCCCAAAAAGUCUAUCUCAGUUCGGAUUGAGGGCUGCAAUUCGCCCUCAUGAAGCUGGAAUCGCUAGUAAUCGUGGGUCAGCAAUACCACGGUGAAUGUGUUCCCGAGCCUUGUACACACCGCCCGUCAAGCCACCGAAGCAGGGGUGGCCUGAAGUCACUGACCCAACCUUUCGGGGAGGGAGGUGCCCAAGGAGACCUCUGUGACGGGGACUAAGUCGGAACAAGGUA